RNAcentral lists this ribosomal RNA (388 nucleotides) under uncultured bacterium. RNAcentral's name for it is "bacterial SSU rRNA". It matches the Rfam family "Bacterial small subunit ribosomal RNA", at positions 29 to 418 of the family's 1533-position model. The record is from RNAcentral.
AUUGAACGCUGGCGGCAUGCCUUACACAUGCAAGUCGAACGGCAGCACGGGAGCAAUCCUGGUGGCGAGUGGCGAACGGGUGAGUAAUAUAUCGGAACGUGCCCAGUAGUGGGGGAUAGCCCGGCGAAAGCCGGAUUAAUACCGCAUACGACCUGUGGGUGAAAGCGGGGGAUCGCAAGACCUCGCGCUAUUGGAGCGGCCGAUAUCAGAUUAGCUUGUUGGUGGGGUAAAAGCCCACCAAGGCGACGAUCUGUAGCUGGUCUGAGAGGACGACCAGCCACACUGGGACUGAGACACGGCCCAGACUCCUACGGGAGGCAGCAGUGGGGAAUUUUGGACAAUGGGCGCAAGCCUGAUCCAGCCAUGCCGCGUGUGGGAAGAAGGCCUC